UCGAGUAGACUGCGGAGUACGUAUCGCCUAUAACGUGAAGGCGGUAAUGUGAAUAACUCAAGGUGUAAUCCCUGGGGUACUUUAAAUAAUUGCGACGCCUUCUGGUUUAUAUGUUGAAAGUAUUUUAUAACUACACCUUCGCAACUAGACUGGCAUGCCCGAUACGUAUGGGAAGAGGUGGCUCACACAGCCACAAACUUUCAGCAUAUGUUCCAUUUGUAUCUGAAACGAAUAGAAUCGAAAUUCAUCUUACCUACAUUUAUUAGAAUAUGUUGAUGUAGUUAUGUUUGCUCUAAGUACUUGUAUGGAGCAGCCGUUGUUACUGUACCACUUGGAAGUGUAAAUACCAUCUGCCUCGUCAAAAAAACGGCAACCACGCCUUUUUGGAGCAUCGAUGGAUGGAGUUCAGCUGAUGAAGUACGAACUUGAACAUAGAUGUAUCCCCCUGCAAACGCAAGAGGGGUAAAACCAAUAUAAUUGAAUACAUAACAUUGACCUGCAGCAGUUUUCAAAGGCCGGAAUUCGUCGCAGCAGUUGAAUUUUCUUGAUCGAUAAAAGCAGUCGUUCAACAGUGAGGGGCAAUUGGCGAUCGACUAUUCAAAAAUCGUGGUA
Molecule: long non-coding RNA, 612 nt
Organism: Athalia rosae (coleseed sawfly)
Lineage: Eukaryota; Metazoa; Arthropoda; Insecta; Hymenoptera; Athaliidae
Exons: 4
Source: RefSeq, a predicted model, not a curated record